RNAcentral lists this long non-coding RNA (23774 nucleotides) under Lathyrus oleraceus (garden pea). Its description in RNAcentral is "Pisum sativum (pea) long non-coding RNA (PSAT_LNC031348)". Lineage: Eukaryota; Viridiplantae; Streptophyta; Magnoliopsida; Fabales; Fabaceae. The record is from RNAcentral.
UGAAGGUUGUUUGAUUAAGACUUGGGAGUCGCCGACGGUUUGGAUGAAGGAGGUUGUCGUUGGAGUUCGGCUUGUGAGUUGCGAAUGUGGCUUUAAGUCUUCACGCCAUGAAUAGUGAAGUUCAUGUGUUGUUUAUGGUGAAAGUGAAAACAUGUGGUUAUUGUUGUGGCUACAAGGAGAAUGCGGCGAUCGGAAAUGGAGUAAGUGGUUGUGUCGUUGAGUUGUGGUGGUACGGCGGAGAAAUUAUGAUGUAGACGGUGGUUUCCGGAAGAUUAUAGAUCCGGAGGUGGGUAUGGGUUUUUAUGGUUAGUGGCGGAUGGAAAACACAGUGGAAGAAAUGGGGAGGUUUUGCCGGCGAAUAUUGGCGGUGACGGAGGAAUGGAGAAGGUGCGGCGGAUGCGCGUUGAAGGGAGAAUGUGGGUUGUCGUUGGGUUUGUCCAUGGCGGUGGCGGUGGAGUAAGGUGAGAGCGUUUGUGGUCCGCGGAGGAAGAAGAUGAACAGUCCUUUUUUAGUGGACUCCGCUGCCUUUUUCUUAAUGGAGCCUCUUGACCUUUUAUUUCUUUUCUGCAUUUUUCAGCUAGCUCCUCCCUCUCUUGACGUGUCAUCCUUUAAGUGGAUGGCCUUAUCUUUAUUUCCAGCUUUUCUCUUCUUGUUUUUUUGGCCCGUUAGAAUCAUGGCGUUGGAUAACCGCGUGGCACUUUCUCAUUGAAUGGAGAUAAAAUACCUUUGUUGGAGACAGGCUGGCCACGUUCCCCUUCAAUACCAAUCCUAAAACCAAUUUUGUUUUCCCCUUUCAUUGGGAGUUGGACGCGUGGUUGAGGAAUGGGCUCGAAGGAGAAUCCAAUGCAGAUGCUUCCAUCACCCUUUGUUAUUUUGAAUAGCAAUUAAAAUAUAAAAUAAAAUUAACCACUUAAAAUAAAGUCAAGUUAAUCACCCAAUUAAUUCUAAUUAAUUCAAAUGACUAUUUUGGCUAAGAGAUAAAAAUAAAUGGAUCAAUGAUGAAUAAAAGUCAGGCAUAAAAUUUACUCAAAAAAUUAAAUCGGAUGCACUAAAAUGAUCAGCACGAAACAUACUUAUUGGAAAAAUACAGCGUUUCUUUUAAUUUUGAAAUAAAUUUUCACCGGUUAAAAGGCUCAAAUGGAUUAAAAUGCAGCUGAAAAAGUCAUUGAAAAAUAUAACGAGCACACCAGGCUGAACUGCGCGAAGUGUAGAUUAAUAAUACUGGCGUCUGUAAGCUUAAUUUCGAAACUUUUUACCCGCUGAUUUUGCACGUACUUGAGAAGUGAUUUAACCAAUUUAUCUGUGUAGCGGGGUAUUCGUUACCUUUAGAUUUAUUGACUAAAUAAAAAGUAAAUCAUACAAUUCGAGUCGCCACCGCACUUCUAUUUAUCCAAAGGAAAGGUUAGAAAGCGAACAAAAACUGAGAAGUUUAUCGAAUCAAAAACUAAUAAAAAUGUCAGAGAUCGGGGUAAGGGGGUUGGUUAUGCAAUGGGUAGGUUUUAAGCACCCAAAACAUCCUAGGUACUCCUAGGGAGCCCUUUUCACAAUUUGUUGUAAGGUAGGUUGGUAUUUGGAAAAAAUUAUUUGUACAAACAUGAUUGGGGAGAUGAGAGAAGAAUGUACAAAUUAUUUACAAUUUUGUGUUUGAAUGGAUAAACCCAUUGCCUACGUACUAUCUUAAAAAAGGAUUAGGAUCAAAACCUCGUAGUUCGGGAUAAAAAUCUCAAAACAAGUUGGUGAAUUGAUUGGUCCAAAAGCCUCAAGGUCUUUUGUUAUCCAAGGGAGAAAACUCGACCUAAAACCACAAAUCCACCAUGUGAGGAUAGCUUCAACAUGCUAGUGAGGGGUUAACCCUAUAAUAAGCAUGGAAGACUCAUUGUCCAUCACUAAGGAUAUAGGUGAGUAUUAUAUUAACCUCAAGGAUAACUCAAACCUAAUAGCUAAUGGUUAUGAAAAGUUUUGAUAAGAAGUGGCCAUUGAAACCACAAAACAUUUGAAUGAGUUGUAUUUACCAAUGAAAAGUAUUUACAAAAUAUGGUCAAAGUUGACUUAAGGGUUCAAUUCAAAAUAAGUGUUAUGAAAGGAAAGUUUGAAAAUCAAAAGCAUAAUGCUUAGGUUUCUAAUGUUUGAAAACAAAUGCUAAUGUUUGCACAAAAGUUUUGGUUUGGGUUAGAGUGGAGGGAAGAAGAAGAAUGGCUAAGUCCUAAACAUACAAAGAUGAAGGAAAAGAAAUAAGACCACAAAUGGAGUUUUCUUCUUGAGAUCAUAGUGAUGAUCCAAGUAGCUCCCAUCCUUUGGAGUAAGCAAGCAAAUAAGCAAAUACUCAAGCAAUCAAUCAAUCAAGCAAGCUCUUAGGAAUCUUCUAAUGGCUCUUGUAUCUCUUACUUUAGAUGCACAUGACAACGGAUCUUCAAUUUGGCUCAAAUGGGAAUCCCUAGCAAAAGAACACACACAUCAAAAAAUUCCACAAAACAAACAAAGAAUGGACAAGAGUGAGUUUAGAGAUUAGGUCAUUCUAAUUCAUCUUCAACAUUAAGUCCUUUUUACUCCAUUUUUGCAUAGGGAAUGUCCUAAAGUCUAAGUCCUUUUGUCCAUUUGAAUUUGGUUCACAACAAUCAAAACAAAACACAAGCACAAUAGUAUAUACACAAUUAUGUGCUCAAGUGAGCAAAAGGCAAAUUGCAUUAACAUAAACAUGUGCUCAAAUGAGCAAAGGGCAAAAGCAAAAGUGAGCAAAAGGCAAAUUGCAUUAACAUAAACAUGUGCUCAAAUGAGCAAAGGGCAAAAGCAAAUGAAUAAUAUGUACAAGAAUAUUAAAUUGCAUUAAUGUAAAGUGCAAGAAUUAAAUGUUAAUGGUUAAUUGUUAGUGUUAGUGUGCCAUAAGGCAAUUUAGCGCUAUGUUAAGCAAUCGUAAGUGGACUAAUGUAGUAGUCACACCUAUCUGAGGCCGGUCAAUAAAAAUAUAGGCAAUAAACACAAGUUAGAGAUCUUGAUUAGUGAAUCAAGCUUCUACAACUUGCCAUGCCAAAAGAAAAGAAGGAUGAUCUUGUAUUGAUUUAGGUUUUCAUGCUUGAUUAGGAAGUAACCUAUCCUUAAUGCAAACCCAUUCACUUGAUCUUUGGAUCAAGAUGAAUUAGAUUUGAAUCAAGGAAGGUUAAAUCUUCCAUACAUCAAGGCUAACCAUCAAUCUUUAACUCAUUGAUCAAAAAGAAAAAGAUGAAGAAGAAGAUGGAUAAGAAUGUACAUUAAUGGAAUUCAAAUGAAGUAAGAAAAUUGGAUUGACCAAAGACAAAUGGAAUCAAGGUCAAACACUAGUAAACAAAAGCAAAAUGAAACUUAGAAGUUAAGAAACAAAUAAAAUAUUUUUGGUAUUUUUCAAAAUUGAAAUAAUACUUGAAUUAAAAUAAACAAUUAAAGGUCAAACUUCAAAUCCAUCUCAAAUCAACUUUGAAAAGUCCAAAUGGAUCAUCCUAAGUGCAACAAGGUCAAACAAAGUUUGACAAAAAAAAUUCAGCAUUUUUAGAAACCAGAAACUAUUUUUAAUCAAUUAAAAUGAUAAAAAAUAACCUAAUUGAAUUAAAAUCUCAAAUCAAUUAAUAAAUGGAUGAGAAUAUUUUUCAUAGAUCCAUCAUCAUUCAAAGAGGUUGAGAAAAUAUUUUUGUAUUUUUUGGAUAUUGAAAACUAAUUAAAAUGAAUUAAAAAUAACUAGAAAAGAGAAAAUUCAUAAAAAAUAUCAAAUAAUAAAAUAAAAAAUAUUAAAAAUCAUUUUUAGAAACUAGAAAUUAAAAGAGAAAUAGUGUCAUUGGUCUCAUAUUUUUUGGAAUUAAAAUGAGAGAGAUAUGAUUUUUUGAAAUAAAAUGAACUAAAAAAAAUAAAAUGGAUUAAAUCAGAAAAUAGGAAAAAACACACGCGUUGGAUUCAAUUCGUUAAAUGAUCUGGCAGAUCAAACGGCUGUGGCAUGCGUGCGCAUCAUGGACCUAAGUCAACUGAGCAACAUAAACUUUUAAAUAAAGUCAUAAGAUCCAAGAGCCUUGAUUCAAUCUGGGAAUCAUCAUCAACGGCCUGGACCAAAACUGGAAAACGGACGGUGGUGUAUACCACCAUCUUCUCCGGCGAGACCAGAGAUUCCGGCCAAAGUUGCAGAGAAAAAUUCUUAACCAAAUGAAGCGAUCCUCAUAUCAUUGGAAAGCUAGGGUGAUGUACAUCACCCCUGUACCAUUAGUUUCUCCUCUAGAUCCUCAUAGAGAGAGAAAUCAGAGAGAGAAAAUCAUGGUGUUCAAUCUGAACUUCAUGGAUUUGCAAAAUUAAAAGCACAAUUCGAAUGCCUCUGAUGAGAGGACUUCAGCCAAGCAAAGAAACACAAGAAACAAGCAAUAAUUAGGGAGUUUCGAAGAAGAAAAGUUUGAACAUCCACCUCUGAAAUAUGGAUCUGGAAAGCACAAUUCCUCUUAGCUACUGAUUGCAGUGUGAUCUAGAGAUGAAGAUGAAGCAAGGCCAAGGAAUUUUGAGUCUAAUAAUCAACCAAUGAAGUUGAAAAUCAGAUCUGAAAUUUUGAAAUGAAAGAGUGAAUUCCUUUAGGUAUGGCUAUGGAGGGAGUUUUGCAGCAUAACAGGUGCCUUCAGGUUAUUGAAUUAUGAAGCCUAGCACUCUUAUUUAUAGCAAUUGGCAAAGGCAAGCAUGAAAGUUUCAUGUGCAUGAAUGAAGAGGGCCUCCAUGCAUGGGCCUGUACAGGCGCAUGGAGGGCCCAAAUCCUAUUGGUUUAGCAAGCUUAACAUCAACAAAUGAGUUUUGGACUUGCAGAUGAAGUGUAAUUGGCUUAUGCAAUAAGUUUUCAAGUAGUUUCCAAAAAUGCACCAAAAUGUUCUCUUCUUCGAAAAUGCCUUUUUCCAAAAAGAAAACAUGGCCUUAUGGGUAAUGGUUGGAAAGCUCUUGACAUGAGGAUCAAUUGUUAUGUUGAGAAAAACUUCAUUUGGAAUUGGGAAAUUAGUGAAAAUUGGUCAUAAAGUGCAAGGUGCAAAACAUGUGUAUGUGAAAAUUUCCAAAAUGGGCCAACUUCAAGCCCUUCUAUUUCAAUGAUGAAAGCUCCAAAUGACAACACCUUCAAUAUAAAAGUUGUAGAUAUUUCCAAGACAAUCAAGGUUGACUCAAAUUGUGCAUCAUUUGGAUUUUUGAUGAGGAAGUUAUGGGCACUUGAAGUUAGACCUUUUCACAUUUCAAUGCCUUUGGUCCAAAGUGACCUAUAAUGUUUUGCAUUAUCACAUGUAUUUAUUUUAGGAUUAUGAAACUUUGGUCAACAUAACAAAUGAAGUAUACAUCUUAAACUUUCCAAUUCAUUUGAUCCCACCUCAAUAUCAUGAAAAAUGAAUGAGUUAUGUUCUUGGGAAGUUGACCCAAAAUUAGGGUUUCAGUCAAAAUGACCUAUAAUGUUUUGAAAUGGAUGAUGACCUUCCAAGCUUCAAAUAAAUUUUUGAUGAAAAUGAAAGUUGUUUAUAUGGUUCUUAAUAACAUUUUUUCUCUUGGAGUCAUCUCCAUUUGACAAGCACAUUAAAAUUUAGGUCUCAGUGUACUUCAAAAUAGUCAGAUGAAUUAACUGAUUAACUUCUCAAGUCCAAACCUCAUAUCUUGAUGAAUUGAUGAUUAAAGACACUCAAAUAAGCUCAAAUAUGCAUGAAAUGAUGAAUUAAAGGACUUCCCUUGAUUGUAUUUGAUCAUGGGUUGAGGUUGCUUCAUGGGCAAGGCACAGUUGAUGCACAUAUGAAUUAGGGUUUCCUUGGGAAACAAUCCUCAAACCCCUUCGUUUGCUUUGAUCAAAUUGAUAAAUUGAGAUACUUGUGAGGCAUAUAUGAUGGAUGAGAACCUUGUGAACCAUUAUCAUCCUUGCUUUCACCUUCACCUGGCCAUAUCAAUGAGCAUAGGGUCUCCUAGGAGCCUUGGAUCUUAUGAUUGCUCAAGCUACAAAACAAACAAAGUUAGUGACAUAUUUUUGUGCUUUUGGUUAGUAAACAAAAUAAGAAAAGCAAUAAUAUACAAUUCAAGCAUGCUUGGAUGACAUAUUUUUGUGCUUUUGGUUAGUAAACAAAAUAAGAAAAGCAAUAAUAUACAAUUCAAGCAUGCUUGGUGGUCUCAAACCAACUCACACAAGUUCCCACCCUAGGGUUAGGAACCAAGAUGCUAUGAUCCUUGAGGCAAAUGCAAAUGCAAUGAUAUGAUGCCAUGAGGGAUCUUAGGGUCAAAAUUAGGGUCGUACAGAUGUCCCUAUUUAAGGUCAUUCUAGCCAGAGAUGUGAAGAUUAAAAUCUUCGUCUCGACGAGGUAGAAUGGGCUUAAAUAAUAUCAAAGAGACGAAUUUUGGUCCCUAAGAGAUCUCAUGAUGCAAAUGUAUGUAUGCAAGAGGUAAUACUUUGCGGGGAUAUAUGUCCACAAAGGAAAAGAGAUCCAGAGAAACUGAAAAUCCAUAUGAGUAAUACACUCAUAAAUGGGACAGAGACUCUAGGGGGAUAAAGGGAAAUAGAAUGUGUGAGCAGGUCACGACUUGAAACUUGCUGGGAGACACGAAGGGAUUCCAUAAAAAUAAAUAAAUGGAAAGACUCGAUUUGACGCAACGAUGCAUGUAUUGGGGAAUAUGCCAAUACAGCAAAACUUUCGGCAAAGGAUACUUCGGAUAGAAAUCCGGACUGAGGCUAGGAAAAUUCAUCAAGGGACUCCGAUGGGGAAUGUCCCAAGAGGACUCAACUGAGGAAAAAGCAACUGAGGUAUUACCUGUUACUGGGUAAUAAGCUCAAAGAGACAUGUGAUCAAACACCGGUAUAAGGGUGAGAAAACAAACAUGCUCGGGGAUAAUGAAUAUCUAAGACCGGUAUAAGGGUGAGAGAUAUCAAUCAUCCAAAAUCAUCUGAGGAAGAUAGAAAAAGGUAUAUUUCAACUCAGGAAAAUCUGACUCCACAAGGGACAACAAGUCAUAAUAGGGAGCAGAAAGGAAAGAGCACCAGGGAUACCAGUUACUAGGCAUAUAAUAGGUGCCCAACCAAGCGUCAAUUGGGGAAUAUUCCCAAAACACUCAUCAUCCGAAAGGAGGGCUGAAAAAAGAAAACUCGAUUACAGGAUGGACAUUCGAUUCCAUAAGGAAAUACGAAUCUUACUCAAUUGGGGAAGAAAAAGACUUCGACUGAAGAGCGCAUGAGAUAUAUUAUCUAUUACCGUCAGAAUGUAGAUAAAAUACUCGCAUGGAAGAUUAUCCACAACCGGUUAUUGGGUUAAUAGAGGAUAAGUCAACCGAAAAGAAAUGACAUCGGGAUACCGAAUACCAUAUAUAAAAUGAUGAUCAAUCAAAGGGGAGAAACGAUCAUCACGAACAAAAAGAGGUGAAUGAAAGAUGACUCGCCGGGGAUACAUUGUUUGAUCAGAGCAAUUAUCCAAGAGAUAUAUCAUUGGUUACUGGGAGAUGUACUCAAAAGGUGGAGGAAUAUCGAUACCGAAUAUUGGAUAAAGAUAACCAACGAAGAGGGGAUUACAUCUACCGGUUACUGGGUAGAAAACCACAGAAGAGUAACCGUCAUCGGUUAGGAUGAACAAAAUCAAGGUUAACUAUUCAAGGGGAUAAGAUGGGGUUUAAAACUACCGGUAUGAGGAUAGAAAACCACAAAGAUAGGACUUAUGACUACCGGUUGCUGGGUAGAAGGCCACAUAAUUUCGUCGGGGAAAAGAUGGAUAAUUACUAGUUACUGGGCAAUCAUUCAUCUAAACCACGGGGAAAUGCGGGGGAAAUAACAAGAGGAGUCAAAUUAGGAACGAACUAGAGAGACACAAUGAAACAAAACUCAACCCUAUGAGGAUAUAACUCAGGGGAUAAAUUCCAUCCCAGUACAUAUUUUAGGGGGAAACUGAAAUAACAAUCAUCCACGAGGACAUAACUCAGUGGGGAAUGUGGAAGAAAGGGUAGACACUUUCUGCCUAUGGGGCUGACUCUAUAUGGAGAGAUCAGACACCAACAUUUACUUGGGGACAUAUAUACCACCAACUAGCAGGAGAUAACAAACAAAGAUAUAUGGCAAAGGAUGCAACAUGAAUAUCUGAAUGUUAUAAUUAUGCAUGUAUAUGUGUGGUUUAUGUAUGAUGAAUGCUGACAAACAGCCAUUUCUAACACAACCAGACCCAGGGAUCAAAUGGACAAACAUCUGGUACUACAUCUCGAAAGAGAAAGCCAGGUCCACCGGGGAAACUGCCAAUCUGACGGGGGCAAAAAAUACCAGGAAACAGUGAUCUCUGUAGGGGAAAGAGAAACAGUCACUCCGCUGGGAAGGAAUCAACACAUCUUCCUCAGAAAUUCCAACGCCACUCUGAAAUCAGACAAAGUCUUGGCUGGGGAACUGAACAUGGAUACGAUCCGUCGUGGAAGCAAAUGUAUUGGGGAAAUUAUCCAGGGGAAGGAUGAACCUCUGUGGGGAACAACCACCGAUCAAAAAGUUUUAAAACUAACUCAAAUCCUUGCACUGCUGGAUAAAUCAUCUCUGCCGAGGAGAAGAGACACACUACUCCACUGGGGAUGGAAAGAUAAAUAUUUACGUCACUCGCUCUGCUUAGGAGGAAACAACAGACAGGUUCUAGUGAAACACUGCUGAGGACUGACCAGGAACUACCUGUAGGUGAUCAGUUGGAGAUAUCCUGCUUGGUGACCAAACUGAGGAGCUGAAAUGGGAUCAACCCUGUUGAGGAUGAACAAAGUCAAACCUGCUGGAUAUUCAUGUAGGAGAAUCCGCGGGGGAAGCUACAAAUCAAAUUGUUGAGAAUUCCACUCAUGUUGGGGAUUUCCUACUCACUUUGCGGGAGAAUUCCAAUCUGAAUGAGGGAAUACCAACUCCCUCGAAAAGAUAGCAUAUCAAUUUAUCAAUUUAUAAGGGAUUUUAGGUCUAUCCACCCAAGGGAUGACAACCAUAUAAUUGAUAACAUAGAUGCUAGAUCCAGCCUCGCUGAGGAGUUAUAAGAUUAAGGCCAAACUCUCUGGGGAUUUUGUGGGAUGUUAGAGAUGUACUCCUCCCAACAAAAUGGGACCAAGGCUCCAGACUCUCUGGUGAACUUGGCGAUGCUUAACUUUCUUUUGCGCUUGCGGAGGAGACAAUCUGAAAGAUAAUGAAGAGGAUACAAGUAUGCUGUGAAUAUGAACAAAUGUCUUACCCUUUUGGAGAUCAUACUAUCCUUGGGAGAGCACUGAAGAUGUUCCAAUUAUCCUUUCAGUCAUUGUGAAUGUUCACUUUGUUUAAAACAGUUUAUGAUUUUUUUUUAAAACAAUGAUAUUUAUCAAUUAAAAUAUGCAAUAUUUGUUGAACAGAAACAAAUAAGACUGCAAAGAAUUAUAUAAAGGCUCAAAUUUAGUUGAUAGAAUGGUAGUCUAAAAAUGGCAAGACUCCAAGGAUCUUUACAAAUUUGAAAUUGGUGAUAUAUAUUGGAAAAGGGCUACAUUGAACAUAAUGACCAUUUCUCCACCAACUCCGAGUCCAAUGUAUUUGAAGCUUCAGUUGACAAUGACUGAGCGAAAUUCUCUGACAGAAGACAACUUGUAGAACAAAGUCUUGUCAGGAUGCAGUUACUUGCCAAAUCCCGAAUUUUUGCCUAGAAUGCCCCAAGGUGAGGUACUCAAUCUAGCGGGAUACAUAUUCAUUUUUUAUGUCUCUAACUUUUACCUGGACCGUCCUUUCAGGUUUUCAAUCCACCGAGACACUCAUUUUUGCCUAAGCCGCCCUUUCGGGUUUUCAACUUAGCGAGCUAUUCUAUUUUUAUUUUUAGGCGAAGUAUUUCUUGACUGUAUCUGAAUUCACAGGAUGAUUGAAAUCCUCCUCAUCCAUAGUUGUAAGUAUCAAUGCACCGCCUGAAAAGGCUCUCUUGACAACAUAUGGACCUUCAUAGUUUGGAGUCCACUUGCCCCUGGAAUCGGGCGCGAAAGACUAAACUUUCUUGAGCACAAGGUCACCUUCUCGAAACACACGAGGUUUGACCUUCUUAUCAAAGGCUUUAUUCAUCCUUUGCUGAUACAACUGACCAUGGCACAUGGCAGUCAAUCUCUUCUCUUCAAUUAAAUUCAGCUGGUCAUAACGACUCUAAACCCAUUCAGCCUCGAUCAACUUGGCUUCCAUCAAGACUCUCAUUGACGGGAUCUCCACCUCUACUAGGAGCACAACCUCCAUGCCAUAUACAAGGGAGAAAGGGGUUGCCCCUGUUGAAGUGCGAACAGAUGUACGAUAUCCAUGCAAAGCAAAUGGCAGCAUCUCAUGCCAAUCUUUGUAUGUAACAACCAUACAUAUACAAGGGAGAAAGGGGUUGCCCCUGUUGAAGUGCGAACAGAUGUACGAUAUCCAUGCAAAGCAAAUGGCAGCAUCUCAUGCCAAUCUUUGUAUGUAACAACCAUCUUCUGGAUAAUCUUCUUCAUGUUCUUAUUAGAAGCUUCAACAACCCCAUUCAUCUUGGGUCUAUAUGGAAAAGAAUUAUGAUGUGCAAUCUUGAACUCACUACACAGCUCUUUCAUCAUCUUGUUGUUCAAGUUAGAUCCAUUAUCAGUAAUGAUCUUAUUUGGCACACCAUAAUGGCAUAUGAGUUGGUUCUUGAUAAACUUUACAACCACCUGCCUGGUCACGUUUACAUAUGACGCCGCUUCAACCCAUUUGGUGAAGUAAUCAAUUGCUACGAGAAUAAAUUUGUGCCUGUUUGGAUGCUUUCGGGUCUAUCAUGCCAAUCAUAUCAAUUCCCCGCAUGGAGAAAGGCCAUGGUGAUGAAAUCACAUUCAGAAGUGUCGGGGGAAUAUGAAUCUUAUAUGCAUAAAUCUUAAACUUAUGGCAUUUCUUCACAUACUUGCAGCAGUCAGACUCUAUUGUCAGCCAAUAGUAGCCUGCUCUCAAAAUCUUCCUUACCAUGGCAUGUCCAUUGGAAUGAGUUACAAAUGAACCCUCAUGGACUUCAGUCAUCAAUAUGUCUGCUUCGUGUCUAUCCAUGUAUCUGAGCAAAACCAUAUCAAAAUUUCUCUUAUGAAACACAUCGUCAUUGAGGUAGAAACUGCCAGAUAAUCUCCUCAAAGUCUUCUUAUCUUUAACAGAUGCCCCAGGCGGGUAAAUCUGACUCUGAAGAAAACACUUUAUAUCAUAAUACCAUGGCUUAUCAUCUUUCACUUCUUCUACUGCAAAUACAUGAGCUGGUCUAUCCAAGCGCAUCAUAGUGAUAUUAGGAACCUCAUUCGAAAGUCUCACCACAAUCAUAGAAGCAAGUGUAGCUAGUGCAUCUGCCAUCCGAUUCGCAUGUCGAGGAAUAUGAAGGAAUUCAACCUCAGUAAAAAAAGUUGAAAUCCUCCUCGCAUAAUCUCUGUAUGGGAUGAGGCAAGGCUGAUUUGUCUCCCAUUCACCCUUAAUCUGAUUAACAACAAGGGCCGAAUCGCUAUAAACAUCAAGAUGCUUGAUCCUAAGAUCAAUACACUCUUCCAAACCCAUAAUACAGGCAUCAUACUCUACCAUAUUAUUCGUGCAUUUGAAAGUUAGCCUUGCUGUAAAAGGAAAAUGUGUGCCCUGAGGAGUAAUAAUCACUACCCCAAUACCAUUUCCAUAUUGAUUUACAGCGCCACCAAACACCAUGCUCCAUCGAGAACCAGGCUUUGGUCCUUCAUCGAGCGUAGGCUCAUCGCAAUCUUUCAUUUUCAAAUACAGAAUCUCCUCGUCUGGGAAGUCGUACUGAACUGAAUGAUAAUCCUCAAUUGGUUGAUGUGCCAAGUGGUCAGCCAAGAUACUACCUUUAAUAGCCUUCUGAGCCCGAUACUCAAUAUCAUACUCAGACAACAACAUCUGCCAACGGGCAAUCCUCCCAGUUAAAGCAGGCUUCUCAAAGACAUACUUGAUUGGAUCUAUUUUGGAUAUCAACCAAGUCGUAUGAUUCAACAUAUACUGGCGUAAGCGCUUAGCAGCCCAAGCCAAAGCACAACAUGUCUUCUCAAGCAUCGAGUAUCGAGACUCACAAUCAGUGAACUAAGUCGUAUGAUUCAACAUAUACUGGCGUAAGCGCUUAGCAGCCCAAGCCAAAGCACAACAUGUCUUCUCAAGCAUCGAGUAUCGAGACUCACAAUCAGUGAACUUCUUACUCAGGUAGUAGAUAUCACACUCUUUCUUCCCUGUUUCAUCUUGCUGACCAAGGACACAACCCAUAGAGUCUUCAAGAACUGUCAUAUACAUAAUAAAGGGUCUCCCUUCCACGGGAGGAGAUAGAAUCGGAGGCUCGGAAAAAUACUCUUUAAUACUGUCAAAGGCCUUCUGGCAAUCCUCGGUCCAAUCAUGACGCUGAUCUUUCCGGAGGAGCUUGAAUAUCGGCGCACAUGUGGUAGUCAUAUGGGAUAUAAAUCUGGAAAUAUAACUCAAGCGGCCAAGAAAACCUCGGACUUGUUUCUCAGUUUUGGGCGCAGGCAUCUCUUGUAUUGCUUUGACAUUGGCAGGAUCAACUUCAAUACCUCUUUCCCUGACAAUAAAGCCCAAUAACUUGCCGGAACGGACCCCAAAUGUACACUUGUUCGUAUUCAGGCGAAGCUUAUACUUCCUCAAAUGCUGAAAAAGCUUCAACAAGUGCUCAACAUGUUUAACUUCCGUUCUUGACUUCGCAAUCAUAUCGUCAACAUAUACCUCGAUUUCCUUAUGCAUCAUAUCGUGAAAUAAGGUGGUCAUAGCACGUUGAUACGUGGCUCCGGCGUUCUUCAAACUGAAGGGCAUCACUCGAUAACAGAAUGUUCCCCAAGGUGUGAUGAAUGUUGUCUUCUCCAUAUCCUCGGGUGCCAUUUUAAUCUGGUUAUAUCCGGAAAAUCCGUCCAUAAAUGAGAAGACAUUGAAUAUAGAUGUAUUAUCUACCAACAUAUCAAUAUGUGGUAGAGGGAAAUCAUCUUUUGGACUAGCUUUAUUCAAGUCUCUAUUGUCCACACACAUUCGGACUUUUCCGUCUUUCUUAGGCACGGGCACAAUAUUGGCCACCCAUUGAGGAUAUGUAGAAGUCACCAAAAACCCCGCAUCAAUUUGCUUCUGAACUUCUUCUUUAAUCUUCACUGCCAUGUCAGGAUGAGUUCUUCUGAGCUUCUGCUUCACAGGUACAUACUCAGGCUUCAAAGGCAGGAAAUGUUGCACGAUAUCAGUAUCCAGACCAGGCAUGUCUUCAGAUGACCAGGAAAAGACGUCGAUGUAUUCUCGUAGCAACUCAAUCAACCCCUUCUUCACAAAUUCUUCAAGGAGUGCCCCAAGCUUCACUUCUCGCACACAAUCUUCAAAUCCCAAGUUGACUGUUUCCAGAUUUUCAAGAUGUGGAUGAAUGAUCUUCUCUUCGUGCUCAAGUAGACGGGUAAUCUCGUCAGGAAUCUCUUCAACAUUAUCUUCUUCAGACUCAAAUACAGGGAACUCAAAGUUGGGAGAUGGUGUUGGAUCAUUAUGUUCAAUGAUUUUGGAUAUAAAAGAGAUUUCAGAAUUCAAGCAAGGAAAAUCAUUAUGCAGAUGAAAAGAUUGAUUUUAUUCUAUUUUUAGGGUUUUAUGUGAUCACCAAUUUCAUGCAAAAAAGCAAAACAUGAAAAUAAUUGGAAAAAACAAACAUUUAACAUGAAUUUAUUGAAUGAAAUAUCAUUGUAUUUAUGAGACAACAAUGUCAUCACUCCUCCUUUUGGCAUGGGAGAAGGGUUUUAAACAAAAGGUGAACUUUACGUUGACUUAUGGACAACUGUUGGAACAUCAACAACGACCCAGUUAUUACAGACCCCUCCAGGGAUGACAAAGUUGUCAGAAUCUUCAUCUGCAUCCUCUUCCACAAUAGCAGCGGCUUCUUCGUCUUGGACGGUGUGGAUGAAACCACCACUCUGAAACAGCCCAUGCUUGUUGAAAGUGCCCGAAGAAUACCCUAUGCCAGCCCAGGACUUGUUGUCUUCCAUCUUGAUCAUUUGUCCUAAACCAGUAGUUGUGCCAUGCUCAAUGGCCAACUUAGCAUCAUUGUAGGACGUAAAUGAAGAAGUUCCUUUCUUAGAAGGCUCAGCAAUAGAUAAGGCUUGGAACGGCGUCCCAACCUCAUCCUCAGCAUCUAUAUAAGAAAAGGAAGACAGGUGGCUAACCAAGAGAGCCUUCUCUCCCCCUACCACCACCAGCUUUUUGUUCUUGACAAAUUUCAAUUUCUGGUGUAGGGUGGAUGUCACGGCGCUUGCCUCGUGAAUCCAUGGUCUUCCUAACAGAUAGCUAAAUGAUGGGUGGAUAUCCAUGACCUGAAAAGUGAUCUGGAAAUCACUUGGUCCAAUCUUGACUAGGAGUUCAACCUCUCCAAUCACGGUCUUGCGGGAUCUAUCAAAAGCUUUUACAACCACUUCACUCUACCUCAUGGGAGGCCCCUGGUAUGACAGUCUAGCAAGAGUGGAUUUUGGCAACACAUUCAGUGAUGAUCCAGUGUCUACCAGCACAUUAGACAUGGCAUCAUCCUUAUAACUCAUAGAUAUGUGAAGUGCCAAAUUGUGGUCUCUUCCCUCCUCGGGGAGAUCAGCAUCAUAAAAACUCAAAUUGUUACAAGCAGUAAUGUUUGCAACAAUACUAUCGAAUUAUUCUAUUGUGACAUCGUGAUCUACAUACGCCACAUCCAACAUCUUCUGCAGAGCUUCUCGGUGUGGUUCUGAGUUUAUUAACAAAGAUAGCGCAGAGAUCUUUGAUGGCAUUUGUAGAAGCUGAUCUACAACGUUGUAUUCACUCCUCUUGAUGAGCCUCAGCAUCUCAUCACAAUCCUCUUUUAUCAUGCCAUUCUGGCCAGUAGGGAAAUGAGUUUUUACGGCGGUGGCAGGUUUAUUAGCAUUAAGUGCCAGAUUCAGAGCAACAAGAGAAUUUCAAACCGAACGAACAACACAAUCAGCAACAUCAUCCCUUCUGGUUUCAGCCUGGGGUUUCGGUGGAGCCGAGAAAACGAGACCACUACGGUCAGGCCGCUGACAUCAACAAUAUUAACCACAGAGGUAGAGGGCAAGGGCACCUCCAUCCCAUCUUCCAAUGCCACAACAUUGUAACGAUAGGGGACAGCCUUAUUAGAAGAAUAUGGCACAUGGCCAGCUUGUUUGAUUAUGAGAGAGGGGGAAGCCUUCUGCUUGCUGCCAUUAUAUCGGAUGACAACAGGCUCUAGGAUCCUGAAUACUGGUAAUAUCACAUUAACUUCAUCAUCCCCGUCGCGAUUCUGAAGUAUUUCUAUUACACCUUCAUCCAUCAUUUCUUGGAUGUCUUUUCGGACUUGACGAUACCCCAUCUGAUUGACAGUGCAAACACGGAAUCUGUCAUGGUGAUGCUCAUAAUGACUGUAUUCACACAACAUUCUGUGCAUCUCGACCAAAGAUUGUCGCAUAUGGCUGACAUAUCGGACCUUAUAUUUACCAGGGCAGCCCUGGACCAUGUUGAUAGCAGAUUUCCCAUGCUCGGGCAAUGGGUUCUUCUUGACGUUAGGACCUACGUCCUCGAAACACAAUAUACCGCUCAUAACAAGGUCUUGAACCUUGGUCUUCAGCGGGUAGCAGUUCUCCACAUCAUGUCCGGGAGCGUCGAAAUGAUAAACACAAUGUAGCUCUGGCUUAUACCCCCACUGAGGGUUGGUAGGUAUAGCCGGUGGGUCACGUGGAGUGAUAAGUUUCCUCUCUAUCAAAGAGGGAUAAAGCUCGGCAUAGGUCAUGGGAAUAGGAUCAAAACUGACCCUCUUCCAAUCAUAGCUUGUACUGGUCUGAUUAUUGUUUCGAGGCAGGUAGGCCUACUGUUGAGGACGGUGCUGUUGUUGUUGAUAUUGUUGGUGUUAUUGUUGUUGGUUCUGAUUAUUAUGCUAAUAGUGUUGGUUUUCUCUGAAAAUAGGUGCUAUGUGAGCCACCUGAUGCUGAUUACCGGCGGGACGCACGGUCUUCCUCUUCACAGAGGGUCUUAUGGGUUUAACAUGGGAGGUCACAGCAUGUGCCUCACCAUCUUUCUUCUUUACAAAUGCCCCAUAUUGUUUGGCAGAAGAGCAUUCUUCUCUAGUCAGGAGCCCUUCCCUGACUCCUUCCUCCAAAUGCAUCCCCAUAUUCACCAUCUCGGUGAAGUCAGAAGGAGCGCUGGCAAUCAUCCGCUCAUAAUAGAAUGAGCUCAAGGUCUUCAGGAAGAUCUUGGUCAUCUCUUUCUCUUCCAGCGGAGGCACAAUCUGUGCAGCUAGUUCUCGCCACCUCUGGGCGUACUCCUUGAAAGAUUCCUUGUCAUUCUGGGACAUGGCUCUCAAUUGAUCCCUAUCGGGAGCCAUAUCCACGUUAUAUUUGUACUGCUUGAUGAAAGCUUCACCAAGGUCAUUGAAGGAUCGGAUGUUCGCGUUGUCCAAACCCAUGUACCAUCCCAGGGCGGCACCGGACAGGCUGUCCUGGAAAUAAUGAAUGAGGAGAUGAUCAUUGUCGGUCUGAGUCGACAUCUUCCUCGCAUACAUAACCAAGUGGCUGAGAGGGCAAGUAUUUCCCUUGUACUUUUCAAAGUCAGGUACUUUGAACUUUACAGGGAUCUUGACAUUAGGAACCAGGUAGAGUUCAGCAGCAGACUUGCGAAAGAGGUCCUUCCCUCUGAGAGUUUUGAGUUCCUUACGGAGCUCAAGGAACUGAUCAUUCAUAGCAACCAUCUUUUCAUACACAUCUGGGCCCUCAGACGGCUUAGAGUGGUAAAUGGUGUCGUCUACCCUUGGCAUAAUAUGCACGACCGGAGGUGGAACGGCGAGGACCGGGCAAGAUGCCGGCAGAGAAGCAAACAUGGGGGCAAGACCCUCAGGAACAAAAUUCGCGGGCAUCCCCCAGGGAAACCCGGCUGGCAUAGCAGUUGGCACGAAAUGGGCACUAGCAGCAGACACUAUCGAGGAGGCAAUCUCAGAGAUGACUGUCCUCUAGGGAGGAGUUGAUGGCGUUGGAGACGACUGGCCUUGGGCGGCCAUGAAAGACUCCAUCAGGGCAAUCAAUCUCGCCACUUCCUCCUUGAGUUCUCUGUUCUCUUACUCUAAGUGAUCCAUCAGUCUUGAAGAGUUGGCUUUGGUGUAGCACCGGUGAGUCAGCUUGUCUUCAAAAUAAAUGAAGAACACAGAGUUAGACCAUUGAACAAGAAGCCUGGAGUAAAACCUGCUUAAGCACAUGAUGCAUGCGAUGCUUGUGCAUAUGAUUUAUUUUAUUUAUCAGAGGAACUUUAGAGUCCUAUUUGCAAAUAUUGAAAAUAUUAAUCAUUUAGACAUAUAUGGAAAUAUCAUAUCAAUAAUAUCUGGAAAAAAACUUUACACCAAAGAAGUACAGUCUUGGUAACCAAUAUACAAUACAAGAGAGAAGGAAAAUGAACAUCCUAUGGAACCCUAGAAACAAUCGUCUAAAGCUCUCGAGACUGGAAGAUAAGCUGCACGAAGCCUCUUCACCUUUCUCUCGUAGGCUGCCUCCAUAUCUGCCUUCUCUUUGGCGAGUCGAUCGUACUUCCUCUUCCAGAACUUGGAAGACUGAGGAAGAAGAAAAGUCACCACAUCAUCAGGCUCAUCGAUAACCUGAUGCUCAAGGAACUCUAUCAACGCAUCCUUAUCUUUAAGCUGCUGAAGUAGCUCCUCUCGCUCAUGGAUCCAAGCAUGCGAGCCGUCUUCGUUUCUCAACUCUUCUACUCAUUGGUCAGGGAGGGUUGAAGGCCCAACCACAACCAAAGGUGUAGGUCUCGGAUACUCGUAAGGCAUAAGGUACUCGGAAGCUCUCCUCCUCACCCACGAGGUAUAGGGUUCCAAAGCAAUACAGUUCUUCGGACCAAGCUCUUUCCUUCCCUGCCUACGGAUCUUGCGCCAAGCGCGGACCAUCCUGUCCUUCAAGCCUUGGGGAUCUUUACUCUCUUGAAAGAAUACACCUUCUAGUAGAAUGUUAUUGGGUUUAUCCUUUAAGGGGAACCCAAGCUGACGACGUGCUAAAAUAGAGUUGUAGUUAAUCCCGCCACAUGUACCAAGAAGAGGUGUGAGCAAAUUCUUUACUUUGAAUAAGUUUUGAAUGAUAGCAAAUUGUGUGAUCAUUGUCUAAUUAUUGGUUGUGCAUUAUUUUACAUGUUUCAUUUGUGUUUUUAGCCUAUACUAUUGUUUCGUAAUUAUUCUAUGUAUCGAUACAUACGAGCUUUGUAUCGAUACAUGCUUAGUUAAAAUGUUCUAUGUAUCGAUACAUACGAGCUUUGUAUCGAUACAUGCUUAGUUAAAAUGUUCUAUGUAUCGGAUACAUCGAGCUUGAUCGAUAAUGCUUGUAUAAUUAUAUAAAAUUAAUCAAAGCUACAGUAUGUAUCGAUGCAUAUUCUUUUGUAUCAAUACAUAAUUCUGUUUUGUCUACUAACAGCUUCUGUCUUUCACAUAUAAGAAGUAUUUUGACAGCUCAGUUAAAAACACACGAAUUCAGAAGUGAAAAACAGUUGUAGCACAAAUCAAAGGAGUGUGUAGCAACAAUUGUUUUUGAGCAGUUAGAAACUUGAAAGAGACUUCAUCUUCUUCAUCUUCUUCAUCUUCUCAAUCUCUUUUCUUCAAGAACAUCAACAUAUAAUCAUUCUUGUUCUUUGGAUUAAAGGAUCAACGAGAUAACGUUCAGUGGAACGUUCAAGGAUCUAGCUGAGGUGUUCAGUGGAACGAUCGAGGAUCUAGCUGCGUUGAAAGUUGAAGGGGGUUUCGAGGAAAAACCAAAUGGUUUGUCCUUCAAGAAUUGGAGUGUUCUUGCGGGUUUAUUAGUCACGUUUGCUGAACAGAUUCAGCCGUAGCGUAGGGUUUGGAAAUUGGGUAAUUUCGCAAACAGGUCGUGGAACCGGUGAAUUGUUUGCAAUUUCUUGCAGGAAAUUCUUGAUCGAGCUCAGAUCAAGUGGAGGUUUUACAGAGAAGAAGAUCUUGAUAUUUAGAUUUCUUUCUUUUGUAUUGUAACCUUAUAUCACGAAUUCGGCAUAUAACAGUUCUCAAUUUCAUUUGAAAUUGAGAGGGAGACGUACCCACACGCGAGGACGACAGUGGGGAACUUCCUUACCAAAUCUCUGCGUAUCGUAUUCUUUCCUUAUCUCUCUUUACUUUUUCAACAGUUUUGUGAUUUCAGUUGGUGUAUUGUGGCUGUACAUUUCGUGAUACAAUAGUGGCAAGAAAACUUCUUUAUCUAAACUCCACCACUGUUCAUCAUUGAUCACACACACACCAAAUGUUUGACAAAACUGUCAGCUGAGUUUUAUUCAUUGGAAUUAGAAUUUAGUGAUAAGUGCAUUUGAUUUGAUAAUAUUCUGGUGUUAAUAAUCUCUAUCGUUCUAAUUCAAAUCCAGCAAUAAACUCGCGUGUCCGGUUUUCUAGUAGCGGUUCAGAAUAGACGGAAGUCGAUUCGGGACUGUAAUUUUCCGCUAAGUAUCAAUAACUCUGAUAAGGAUUUUUAAAUCCGUUUAUUUUAAAAGAGGUGAUCUAUUCACCCCCCUCUCGAUCACUAGCCACACCGUCUAACAAGCGGUAUCAGAGCGCCGGUUCGCUGGUGUUCUGUGGCUGCCUGUAACGAUAUGGAUUCUGAACCAAAGGGGGCGUAUAAUAGAGCGCCGAUUUUCAACGGUGAAAAUUACGGCUACUGGAAAGACUGCAUGCGAGUUCAUAUAAAUUCUGUUGAUAGGCUAGUAUGGGCUGCCAUUGAAAAUGGUCCUUUUCAAAUUACUAUGACAAAUGCGGCUGGCGCCAUAGUUCCUAAACCAGAAGGUGAUUAGAAAUGAGAAAGAUAGAAAAAGUGGUCGAGUGAUUGGAGAGCUCGAAAUAUGCUAUUUCAGCACUUGGUGUUGAUGAGUAUUAUCGGGUAUCCCAUUGCACGACAGCUAAAGAAAUGUGGGAUGCUUUAGAAGUUGCCCAUGAGGGUACUACUGAAGUAAAACAGUCCCGCAUUAACAAACUCAAUCAAGAGUUUGAGCUCUUUCGCAUGAAACAAGGAGAAUCUAUCUCCGACAUGCAAAAGAGAUUUAUUCAUCUCACUAAUCGUUUGAAUGCACUUGGAAAACCUGUUUCCAAUGAAAUAGCUACUAAUAAAUUUCUGAGAUGUCUUAGCAGGGAAUGGCAACCUAAAGUAACAACUAUUAAGGAAGCCAACGAUCUAACGACACUUACGAUUACAACUCUGUUUGGAAAGUUGGAAGAACAUCAACAAGCAUUAGAAAGUCUUGAAAAGUUUGAGAACAAAAGUAAGAAGGAAAAGGAGAAGAAGAGAGACAAAAAGGGAGAGAAGAAGCCAAUAGUUCUUGUGGCCUCUAGCUCUAAGUCCUCACGAAAAGAGCAAAGUGACAAUGAUUCUAGUAGUGACAAAGAUUCCGAUGAUGAGGAAAUGGGACUUUUUGUAAGGAGAUAUAAUAGAUUCAUUCGAAAGAAUGGAGUCAAGCAUUCCGACAAAAACCUCAUGAAGUUUCAAAGACAAUCUACAGAUUCAAAACAGGAAGAGAAUAAGAAGAGUAGAGGAAAAGGAUCUUGUUUUAAUUGUGGUAAAUCUGGACAUUAUAAAAUAGAUUGUCCUAUGAAGUAUAAGGAUCAAGGAAAAGCUCCACCAAAAGGGUACAACAAACAAAGAAGAGCUUACAUUGCAUGGGAAAGUGAUAGUGAUUCAUCAAGCACACAAAGUUCAAGUGAUAGUGAUGAAACCGCAAAUCUGUGCCUUAUGGCUCACACCAAAAAUCUGUCCUACCACAAGAAGAAAAUCAAUGAUAAAAAGGUAAAACAAGCCUAUUAUAAUAAUUUCUCUUCUAUGUCUUUUUCUGAACUGAAAAUAGCUUUUGAAAAACUGCAUAACGAAGCUGUAGAUGCUUUUAAAAGAUUAUCUUCCGAUAAACAAAUUUUUUCAUUUCUGGAAGGUAAAGUAUACAAAGCUGAAAAAGAUUUAGAAUGGUUAAAAGCUAGUAUUGCAGAAAAUUCAAAAAAUAUUGACAUUGAUGGAUGUAGUAAAGUUGGGUAUUGUGAAGCUUGUCAUAUUUGGCAACAAGAGGUAAACACUCUCAAGGUCAAAUUGGAAAAAGCUUUACAACCUAAGGUUACUUAUGCCGUUGACUCUAGGUUGUUUAAGAAGUCAUUAAAUCCACCAUAUGCAAAAUACUCUUUUAUUCCAAAGGAUUUAAUGAACAAGAAUAAACAAACACAUCAUCAUGGUUUAUGUCAUUAUUGUUGUCGUGCUGGCCAUACCAUUGAGAAAUGCAAGUUUAGGAGAUUUCUUGUUCCUAAAGGUAUUUAUCAAUGGAAGCCAAAAGGCAACCAUGUUAGCACUUACCCACUUGGACCCAAUGAAAAUUGGGUACCAACUUCUCUCUUUUGAUAUUGUAGGAUGAGUGCCUUGCUUCCGUAGAUAGGAGAUGGUUUCUUGACAGCGGUUGCUCAAGGCACAUGACCGGUGACAUAUCGCUUUUUAUAGACUUCAAAGCAAAGAAGAAGGGAUAUGUUACUUAUGGAGACAAUAACAAAGGAGCUAUACUUGGCAAAGGUAGUGUAGGUAAUCCCUCUACCACUACUAUUUCUGAUGUCCAUUUAGUAGAGGGGCUUAAACACAAUUUGUUAAGCAUAAGUCAAUUGUGUGACAAGGGUUAUAAAGUUUCUUUCACAAAAACUUGCUGCAUAAUUGAACAUGCUGAACAGAACGUUGUGUUUAAGGGUGUAAGAGUAAACAAUAUCUAUAUGCUUGACCUUUUUGAUGUAUCUUUAACAAGUACUAAAUGUCUAGUUACCUUGAAUGAUGAUUCUUGGCUUUGGCAUAGACGUUUAGCGCAUGUUAGUUUUGAUUUGCUUAAUAAGGUUGUAUCUAAGGAUCUAGUAGUCGAUCUUCCAAAAAUAAAAUUUUCAAAAGACCACCUAUGUGACGCGUGCCAAAUGGGAAAACAAACGAGGGUCUCUUUUAAAUCUAAAAAUGUAAUUUCAACUUCACGAUCCCUUGAGCUUCUCCAUAUGGAUCUCUUUGGACCUUCUAGGACAAAGAGCAUAGGUGGAAAUUAUUAUGGUUUUGUAAUCGUUGAUGACUAUUCUAGAUUUACUUGGACUAUAUUCCUUCAUAGGAAAGAUGAAACUUUUUCUGCUUUUAACAAUUUUGCAAAUCUGUCCCAAAACAAAAUGAAUUCCAAAAUAGUUACAAUUCGUAGCGAUCAUGGUGGUGAAUUUCAAAACUAUCACUUUGAUAAGUACUGUGACAAGUAUGGUAUUAAGCAUAACUUUUCAGCUCCUCGAACUCCACAACAAAAUGGCGUUGUGGAGCGUAAAAAUCGUGUUUUAGAGGAGUUGGCAAGAACAAUGCUAAAUGAGGGUGGAUUACCAAAAUACUUUUGGGCUGAUGCAGUUAGCACAGCUUGUUAUGUUUUAAACAGGAUCUUAAUUCGUCCUAUUUUAAAUAAAACUCCUUAUGAGCUUUUAAAAGGAAGAAAGCCAAACUUGUCACAUCUUCACGUAUUCGGUUGUAAGUGUUUUGUUUUGAAUAAUGGUAAGGAAAAUAUUGGGAAGUUUGAUGCAAAAGCGGAUGAAGGUAUCUUUCUUGGAUACUCACAAUCAAGUAAAGCAUAUAGAGUAUAUAAUAAGCGUUUACUUACUGUUGAAGAAUCUGUCCAUGUUUCUUUUGAUGAGUCUUAUCCGAAAAGUGUCGGAAAAGGUAUUUCUUUUGAUGACGCAGGUGUAUCUACAGAAGACAUACUCAAGGAAGCUGUUACGGAAACUGAUCAGUCCAGAACAGUUGCCCAUGAGAAGGAGGAAGAUACUAGUCAUGAAGAAGAUGAGGAAGAAAGGACAGCUGAAGUGAAUGACCUUCCACCAGCUUGGAAAUCUUCAAAAGACCAUCCUAUUGACAACAUCUUGGGAGAUAUUUCAAAGGGAGUAAUGACUCGUUCUAAGAUAAGUAAUUUUUGUUCUCACUUCGCUUUUGUUUCACAAGUAGAACCUAAAAAUGCCAAAGAGGCCUUGAUUGAUGAAUUUUGGCUAAUGGCCAUGCAAGAAGAGCUUAAUCAAUUUAAAAGAAAUGACAUUUGGGAACUUGUCCCUCGUCCGCGAGAUCAUCAUAUCAUAGGUACUAAAUGGGUUUUUAGAAAUAAGCUUGAUGAAAACGGAGUGAUAACUAGGAACAAGGCACGUUUAGUAGCACAAGGGUAUAACCAAGAGGAGGGCAUAGACUAUGAGGAAACUUAUGCUCCAGUUGCUCGCCUUGAAGCUAUACGUCUCUUGCUUGCCUAUGCGUGUUCUAAUAAUUUUAAGCUUUACCAAAUGGACGUAAAGAGUGCGUUUCUAAAUGGUGUCAUAAAUGAAGAGGUAUAUGUCUCACAACCUCCUGGUUUUGAGAAUGCUGAAAAUCCAGAUUAUGUUUACAAAUUAAAACGAGCUUUGUAUGGUCUUAAACAAGCCCCUCGGGUUUGGUAUGAAAGGCUUAGCAAAUUUCUAAUUGAUCAUGGAUAUUCAAGAGGUAAAGUGGAUAAUACUCUCUUUAUUAAACACAAGGGAAAGCACAUUCUUUUAGUUCAAGUUUAUGUAGACGAUAUAAUUUUUGGUUCAACUAACACACACUUGGUCGAAGAAUUUUCUAAGGUUAUGCAGGGUGAAUUUGAGAUGAGUCUUAUGGGGGAGCUGAAUUACUUCCUAGGUCUUCAGAUAAAGCAACUUGAUGAGGGUACAGCAGUAUGUCAAACAAAGUACUGCAGAGAACUACUCAAGCGCUUUGGAAUGAACGACUCAAAAUCAAUUGACACCCCUAUGCCUACCAACGGAAAUCUAGAUAAAGAUGAGCAUGGUAAGAGUGUAGAUGUCAAAAAGUUUAGAGGUAUGAUUGGG